CAGAGGUCUCAACCGUUGUUCGGAUUCAUUGGGCGUAAAGGGUGCGUAGGCUGCGGAGUAAGUCAGGUGUGAAAUCUCGGGGCUCAACCCCGAAACUGCACUUGAUACUGCUUCGCUCGAGUACUGGAGAGGAGACUGGAAUUUACGGUGUAGCAGUGAAAUGCGUAGAUAUCGUAAGGAAGACCAGUGGCGAAGGCGAGUCUCUGGACAGUUACUGACGCUGAGGCACGAAGGCCAGGGGAGCAAACGGGAUUAGAUACCCCGGUAGUCCUGGCAGUAAACGGUGCACGUUUGGUGUGGGAGGAUUCGACCCCUUCCGUGCCGGAGCUAACGCGUUAAACGUGCCGCCUGAGAAGUACGGUCGCAAGAUUA
This 372-nucleotide ribosomal RNA is filed under the name uncultured organism. RNAcentral describes it as "bacterial SSU rRNA". It matches the Rfam family "Bacterial small subunit ribosomal RNA", at positions 526 to 896 of the family's 1533-position model. The record is from RNAcentral.